This 164-nucleotide ribosomal RNA is filed under the name uncultured bacterium. Its description in RNAcentral is "partial 16S ribosomal RNA". It matches the Rfam family "Bacterial small subunit ribosomal RNA", at positions 355 to 511 of the family's 1533-position model. The record is from RNAcentral.
UAGGGAAUCUUCCACAAUGGGCGAAAGCCUGAUGGAGCAACGCCGCGUGUGUGAUGAAGGGUUUCGGCUCGUAAAACACUGUUGUAAGAGAAGAAUGACAUUGAGAGUAACUGUUCAAUGUGUGACGGUAUCUUACCAGAAAGGAACGGCUAAAUAUGUGCCAG